GACGAACGCUGGCGGCGUGCUUAACACAUGCAAGUCGAACGGAAAGGCCCCUUUGGGGGUACUCGAGUGGCGAACGGGUGCGUAACACGUGAGUAACCUGCCCUUGACUUCGGGAUAACUUCAGGAAACUGGGGCUAAUACCGGAUAGGAAUCCUUGCUGCAUGGUGGGGGUUGGAAAGCUUCGGCGGUUUUGGAUGUACUCGCGGCUUAUCAGCUUGUUGGUGGGGUAGUGGCUUACCAAGGCUUUGACGGGUAGCCGGCCUGAGAGGGCGACCGGCAACAUUGGGACUGAGAUACGGCCCAGACUCCUGCGGGAGGCAGCAGUGGGGAAUAUUGCACAAUGGGCGGAAGCCUGAUGCAGCAACGCCGCGUGCGGGAUGACGGCCUUCGGGUUGUAAACCGCGUUCAGCAGGGGCGAAGCUUGUGGUGACGGUACCUUCAGAAGAAGCACCGGCUAACUACGUG
RNAcentral lists this ribosomal RNA (465 nucleotides) under uncultured bacterium. RNAcentral's name for it is "partial 16S ribosomal RNA". It matches the Rfam family "Bacterial small subunit ribosomal RNA", at positions 28 to 507 of the family's 1533-position model. The record is from RNAcentral.